This 525-nucleotide ribosomal RNA is filed under the name Streptomyces olivochromogenes. Its description in RNAcentral is "bacterial SSU rRNA". It matches the Rfam family "Bacterial small subunit ribosomal RNA", at positions 610 to 1135 of the family's 1533-position model. The record is from RNAcentral. Lineage: Bacteria; Bacillati; Actinomycetota; Actinomycetes; Kitasatosporales; Streptomycetaceae.
UAACCUCGGGUCUGCAUUCGAUACGGGCUAGCUAGAGUGUGGUAGGGGAGAUCGGAAUUCCUGGUGUAGCGGUGAAAUGCGCAGAUAUCAGGAGGAACACCGGUGGCGAAGGCGGAUCUCUGGGCCAUUACUGACGCUGAGGAGCGAAAGCGUGGGGAGCGAACAGGAUUAGAUACCCUGGUAGUCCACGCCGUAAACGUUGGGAACUAGGUGUUGGCGACAUUCCACGUCGUCGGUGCCGCAGCUAACGCAUUAAGUUCCCCGCCUGGGGAGUACGGCCGCAAGGCUAAAACUCAAAGGAAUUGACGGGGGCCCGCACAAGCAGCGGAGCAUGUGGCUUAAUUCGACGCAACGCGAAGAACCUUACCAAGGCUUGACAUAUACCGGAAAGCAUUAGAGAUAGUGCCCCCCUUGUGGUCGGUAUACAGGUGGUGCAUGGCUGUCGUCAGCUCGUGUCGAGAGAUGUUGGGUUAAGUCCCGCAACGAGCGCAACCCUUGAUCUGUGUUGCCAGCAUGCCCUUCGGG